This 791-nucleotide ribosomal RNA is filed under the name bacterium 206_oclvp485. Its description in RNAcentral is "bacterial SSU rRNA". It matches the Rfam family "Bacterial small subunit ribosomal RNA", at positions 50 to 850 of the family's 1533-position model. RNAcentral also lists the same sequence under 1 other name. The record is from RNAcentral.
UACACAUGCAAGUCGAACGGUGAAAGCGGAGCUUGCUCUGCUGGAUCAGUGGCGAACGGGUGAGUAACACGUGAGCAAUCUGCCCUUGACUCUGGGAUAAGCGCUGGAAACGGCGUCUAAUACCGGAUACGAGCUGCGAAGGCAUCUUCAGCAGCUGGAAAGAACUUCGGUCAAGGAUGAGCUCGCGGCCUAUCAGCUUGUUGGUGAGGUAACGGCUCACCAAGGCGUCGACGGGUAGCCGGCCUGAGAGGGUGACCGGCCACACUGGGACUGAGACACGGCCCAGACUCCUACGGGAGGCAGCAGUGGGGAAUAUUGCACAAUGGGCGCAAGCCUGAUGCAGCAACGCCGCGUGAGGGACGACGGCCUUCGGGUUGUAAACCUCUUUUAGCAGGGAAGAAGCGAAAGUGACGGUACCUGCAGAAAAAGCACCGGCUAACUACGUGCCAGCAGCCGCGGUAAUACGUAGGGUGCAAGCGUUAUCCGGAAUUAUUGGGCGUAAAGAGCUCGUAGGCGGUUUGUCACGUCUGCUGUGAAAACUGGAGGCUCAACCUCCAGCCUGCAGUGGGUACGGGCAGACUAGAGUGCGGUAGGGGAGAUUGGAAUUCCUGGUGUAGCGGUGGAAUGCGCAGAUAUCAGGAGGAACACCGAUGGCGAAGGCAGAUCUCUGGGCCGUAACUGACGCUGAGGAGCGAAAGGGUGGGGAGCAAACAGGCUUAGAUACCCUGGUAGUCCACCCCGUAAACGUUGGGAACUAGUUGUGGGGUCCAUUCCACGGAUUCCGUGACGCA